RNAcentral lists this unclassified non-coding RNA (324 nucleotides) under fungal sp. Its description in RNAcentral is "partial internal transcribed spacer region". The stretch from base 1 to 46 matches the Rfam family "Eukaryotic small subunit ribosomal RNA", at positions 1786 to 1831 of the family's 1831-position model. The record is from RNAcentral. Lineage: Eukaryota; Fungi.
AAGUCGUAACAAGGUUUCCGUAGGUGAACCUGCGGAAGGAUCAUUAAAAGCAAAACAGAAGUUAGAGCGGGCUGGAGGCGCUGGCGAGCCGGGGGAGCUUUUCGGAGCGACCCAGGCCGUCCGCGCGGUCCCCUGCCCUCAUCCUUGAGCGGAGCUCCCGCUCGGUGGAGGGGUCCGCCAACUUUUAACCCUUGAAAUCCGACCUCACGUUGCCUCGGCGGGCGAGCCCGCCGGAGGACGCAACCGAAACUCCUGUCUCAAACCGUGCAGUCUGAGCUUGAUAGCAACGAAUCAAAACUUUCAACAACGGAUCUCUUGGUUCUG